RNAcentral lists this ribosomal RNA (253 nucleotides) under uncultured bacterium. RNAcentral's name for it is "partial 16S ribosomal RNA". It matches the Rfam family "Bacterial small subunit ribosomal RNA", at positions 524 to 776 of the family's 1533-position model. The record is from RNAcentral.
UACGUAGGGGGCUAGCGUUAUCCGGAAUUACUGGGCGUAAAGGGUGCGUAGGUGGACUUUUAAGUGAGAUGUGAAAUACUCGGGCUCAACUUGAGUGCUGCAUUUCAAACUAGAAGUCUAGAGUGCAGGAGAGGAGAAUGGAAUUCCUAGUGUAGCGGUGAAAUGCGUAGAGAUUAGGAAGAACACCAGUGGCGAAGGCGAUUCUCUGGACUGUAACUGACGCUGAGGCUCGAAAGCGUGGGGAGCAAACAGG